This 253-nucleotide ribosomal RNA is filed under the name uncultured bacterium. RNAcentral's name for it is "partial 16S ribosomal RNA". It matches the Rfam family "Bacterial small subunit ribosomal RNA", at positions 524 to 776 of the family's 1533-position model. The record is from RNAcentral.
UACGUAGGGCGCAAGCGUUGUCCGGAAUCAUUGGGCGUAAAGCGCGUGUAGGCGGUUCCCUAAGUCUGUUGUGAAAGUCGGAGGCUCAACCUUCGAAAGCCGAUGGAUACUGUGUGACUUGAGUACGGAAGAGGAGAGUGGAAUUCCUGGUGUAGCGGUGAAAUGCGCAGAUAUCAGGAGGAACACCAACGGCGAAGGCAGCUCUCUGGGACGUUACUGACGCUGAGACGCGAAAGCGUGGGGAGCAAACAGG